GGUGGCUCAGUGGUAGAGCUCUUGCCUUGAAGCAUGCAUGAGGCCCUGGGUUCGAUUCCUCAGCACCA
RNAcentral lists this transfer RNA (68 nucleotides) under Dipodomys ordii (Ord's kangaroo rat). It matches the Rfam family "tRNA". Rfam says of the family: Transfer RNA (tRNA) molecules are approximately 80 nucleotides in length. Their secondary structure includes four short double-helical elements and three loops (D, anti-codon, and T loops). The record is from Rfam by way of RNAcentral. Lineage: Eukaryota; Metazoa; Chordata; Mammalia; Rodentia; Heteromyidae.